UUCUGUUUUCCCUGUGUCAAACGUUUUUCAUCAGAACUUCCGAGAACCUCCGCCAUGAUUUCGACGACAAAUCUGAGACCUAACAUCAGAUUUUAACCCAGAAAUCAGUGCAAUUGAUUUCCGUUUAUCAUGCUACUGAACAUCUGAAACCUUAAAAUCAAAUUUCCAUUACUUUUUUUCUCUCUGCGGAUUCAUCUUUUGAUCGUUAGGUUUAAAUCAGUAAUGGGUUUGCUUAUUUUCACACAUAGAACGACGUCACAGAAAUCAAAGUGAACAGCUGCGAGGUAUAGGGUCAAGGUUGAGCAUCCUGAUCAAGCCAAGUUUGAACAACUCAGUAAAGAAAUUGCUGAAUCUGCUGCUGCAUUUUCCAUCUCUUCACCAACACACAUCAGUAUCCCAAAAACCACAGGACUAAACUAAAUAUUCACUUUAGAUGUUGAUAUUAUUUUAUUACCACAUUGUUUUCAUGGGAUUAGUUAGAGUUGAAUUUUGCCUCUGCAUUCACUAAUAUCUUCCCAGCUUGCAUUUAUUUCUUGAAUAGCAUGUUCAAAGUGUACAAAUGUCUGAAUAGUUUUUCGUCAUGUAUCAUGGACUUCUUGCUUUUUACUCUAGCUAGGCUUUUGGGAGUUGAUGACUUUAUCCACAGUCACACAUCGAGUCCUGAAAGUAUAACCUUCCAUGAAAGAGGAGAAGAAAAUGAGGCGCUGAUAACACAUUUUACGUUCAAACAUAAAGUUGAUAGUACUGUUAUAGGAUUACAUAAUGAACUGUCGUCACCCGUCUCAGUGACGACCCUGUUGGUUUGUGAUUUACAUAGCAAGUUUCAGAAAUGUUGCCCUAUAAUAACCCUCUCUCCCCUAUCAUGAUAGAUAAAAAACAUGAAUAGCAGCAUCUACAUUUGCCGGUGGGUUGACACUGCGGCACUGCCACAACACCUUUCUAGCCAUAUAUUAAUAUGAUGUUUUCAGUUGUGAAGCAUAUAUGAUGUUAGACUGAUUGGAAUAGUAACUCUAGAACUGUGAGUAAGUGGCCGGGGGGUGUAAAGUAAGAUUAGUUGUAGCUGUAAGGACAUGGGAAUUGGACCUGACUUAUAGUACUCAUAUACUCUGCCAUGUUCACACUCCAUAUUUCAGAAAAUAAGAGAAAAAUACAGGGUAAUGUUUAUAAGAGAGUAAAAAACAUUUUUGUAUUGACACGUGUUCACACUCCACAUUUCUAUUUGCAGGGGAAAGUGAUGGAAAAGAUUAUUCAACAAGCUGGACACAAACAAACUGAAAUUCAUCUUAGAGAACCUAUGUCGGGCCUCACAAUCGUGGUUGAUGGCAGUUUAAUAUCACAAACGAAGGAGGUUGCGGAAUUAAUUUUGAAGUCGUAUCCUACCCAAAUUUUAAGUGAAUGAGAAAAUAGUUUGAAGGUAAGUAGGUAACUACCAAUUUAGAAUAUUAAAAAUAUCAAUUUUAUAGAUUCCUGUACAAUGUAGAUGCAGGUCUAACAAAUUAAUACUGAAAAAAAAGGGUUGUUACACUAGCUUUACAGAAGGGAAACCUCAAUUGAAGGCUGUUGAUGGGGAAACAAAGAUCUUGACCCCUGAAGCGUGUUGGAUAUUUCAUUAUAUGAUUUUUUCUGUAAAUUUAUUGUGUUGCCUUUUAGACUGCAGGAUGGUUGCAUGAUCAUGUAGUACCUGAUGGGUCGAGGGAGAGACUGGUUUGAUUGUCACAUUACAUUUCUUUGUCAAUCCUUCAGAAAUUUAAGCAAUGGGAAAUCUUGGAAUCAUUGAGCAAGGUCGACUAUGGCAGUGGAUUGAUACCACAGUCAACAAUCCUUGCUCUAUCUUGACAGAUGAUUGAUACCACAACGGAUGCAAUUAACAAUCCACUCUCUAUUGAAGCCGUACAAUUAUUUAUGUAAAUGACUACUUUGAAUUGAGAAGUUACAGAAAGAAAAAUUUAGUUCUUAGUUCUUGAAUUUUGGUGUUUAUUGAUAGACACAUUUUUGUGUCUGAAUUGUUCUCAGUGUCUCUAUUGCUAGUGCUUGAUUUUG
This is a long non-coding RNA of Papaver somniferum (opium poppy), 2040 nucleotides long. RefSeq lists it as uncharacterized. Lineage: Eukaryota; Viridiplantae; Streptophyta; Magnoliopsida; Ranunculales; Papaveraceae. The transcript is spliced from 5 exons. The record is from RefSeq and is a predicted model, not a curated record.